Molecule: ribosomal RNA, 1000 nt
Filed under: Sheathia arcuata
Lineage: Eukaryota; Rhodophyta; Florideophyceae; Batrachospermales; Batrachospermaceae
Description: eukaryotic LSU rRNA
Rfam family: 5.8S ribosomal RNA (bases 294-446)
Source: RNAcentral
UCGUAUCAAAGGUUUUUCGUAGGGGGAACAUCGUGGGAAGGAUCAUUUCACGUUUUAUAUAACAGCUUUUUUAGAGGGGGGUGUUUAUAUGGGUAUUGUGCGCGCUUUUUGGGGGAGUGUGCUUUUUUUGCAUGCACUUUUUUUUAGGAGGCUUCCACCCUUUCGGUGACCCUUCUAUUCCUUUUUCGCAAAAUUGUUCGCGAACCUUUUGAGGUAAGGCACUGUUUUGUAUAUAAUAUUUUAUCUAAAACCCACCAUGAAAAACCACAACAGAAACGAAACCAAGAAAAUAAAACUCGUGACGGAGGAUAUCUUGGCUCCCACAUCGAUGAAGAACGCAGCGAAAUGCGAUACGUAGUGUGAAUUGCAGAACACGUGAGUCAUCGAAUCUUUGAACGCAAGUGGUGCUCGCGGGCAAUCCUGCGAGCAUGUCUGUUUGAGUGUCCGCACAAAUUACUCGCACCCUUUUGUUCUUUUUGCUUUGGAAUUUAUUCUGAGGUAGGAAGUGAGAAAGGGGGCGGCGAUUGGGUUUUUAAUCUGCUUCACUGCGGAAGACCCGGAAAGCAGUGCUUGGAAAAUGGUACGGGGCUUUCGGCUCUUCGUGUCCUUCCGUGUGCGUUAACAUGUCUGCGCGACUAUCUAGCGCGGAAAACCAGUGUUUAAAACCAGCAAGCAAUGCGUGGUGCUUUUGUAGCGUCCGCUGCGCUGAGAAGAAAGGAAGUCUGGACGGGAUCAACGUUUCGGAGCUCUCUGCUGGGAAGUAACUACAUUCCAGGGGGGCGACGAGAUUGUGGAUGUUUUGUGCCAAACUGCCAUGAAAAAACUUUUCGGGGCACACGGCGGGAAUAGUCCGGCUGGAGGAGGAGUUCAUUUCACAUGGACGCAUUCUCUGGUUGGAAUUCUGCGGUGUAAAAGGCGGUGCGUGAAGGGGUGCUGUACACUACAUGCGCAGUGCGUCACUGGCGGCGCUCCUCGGUGUUGUACGAAGGACUGGUUGGCG